This 2168-nucleotide long non-coding RNA is filed under the name Theobroma cacao (cacao). RNAcentral's name for it is "long non-coding RNA (TCAC_LNC001192)". Lineage: Eukaryota; Viridiplantae; Streptophyta; Magnoliopsida; Malvales; Malvaceae. The record is from RNAcentral.
UGUCUUCUUCUUCCCUUCUCCUCUCUCACGUUUCUUCAAUUCUUCCAUGAGAGUUUUCUUCAAGCUUCCAUAACUUUCUCUCUCUAGCUCCAAUUUUCAUGCUUUCGGUGUACUCUUCCAUAAACCCUUAUGCUUUUUCAUCCUCUCACUUUAAAACCCUUCAAAAAUCUGGUUUUCAUACUUUCUCUCACUAGCUGGACGUUUUAGAGAGAUAAAGAGAGAAUUACACCAUUUAUUUGGAAGCUGUUGGGAGAGAAUUUGACUACAAAGGAGCCCUAGGGUAAGUGAUUAACUAAGCUCAAUUUUUAGCUGUAGAAAAUGGCUAGUAAUUGAGAUUUAUGAGUUGUUUUGUUGUUGACUAUGUUCAUUACUUUUUAGUGAUUAAGAUAGUGAACAUGAUAGCCAUUUAAUGUGGCAAUUGAAAACUAGUUAAGAGAGAGCUUUUAAGGUUCAUAGUGUGUAAAUUAACCUAUUACUUAUGCUAAUGUGAUCUUAGGUUCUAAGAAAGCCCCAUCAUCUCAUUUGGACAAUUAGGGGAAUUAGAGUCAUCUAAAGGCUUUACAAUCAAUUGGUGAGUGGACUGCCUUCAAAACUUGUUUUGGGAAAAAUAAUGUAUUUGCCACCCAUUUGAAUGAAUUAUCAAGUUUUUUAUAAAGACAAGUGCCUUGGGAACAAGCUUUUGCAAAAUGGUUUUAUGUGGUGAUAUGUGAUUGCUAUGGAUUCAUGCACUAUUAUAGUAUGAUGAUAUAUAAAUGUGUGUGUUGUGCAUGAUGAAUGAUAUUGUGUAUAAUGACUGUAACCGUGUGUGUGCACGAUGUGGGGGGAUGCACAUGCCGGUGAUGAUGGUGGCGUGAGAGAUGGAUGAUGAUAGUGCCCGUGUGCACGAUGUGGGGGGAUGUACACGAUGGCACUGAUUGUGCACGAUGUGAGGGGAUGCACACGAUGGUGCCGGCUAUGUGCACGAUGUGGGGGGAUGUACAUGAGCCAGGUGUGUUUAUGAUGAUGUUGAUGUUUAUCUAUGUAAUUAUGCAUAUCUAGACUUAUGAAAUGAAAACUUAUGAAUAUGAUAUAUGAUUGACAUAUAUGAGAAAUUUGAUACAUUACACUUUGGGAAUUUUCAUGUGCUGUAUGUUGAUUUUAUUGGUUUAGCAGGAUGGCCUUUUUGUUGGGUGAGGGAAAACUUUUCUCUUGUUGCUUUGUUUUCGCUACAGCAAAAUUCAUUCUCGCUGCAGCGAGAAACUCUCGGGUUUGAGAACCUUCACCAGAACUGGUUCUCGCUGCAGCGAAACUGUAUUUCGCUAUAGCGAGAUAGUCACCGUAGCCUCUCGCUGCAGCGAAAAAGGAAUCUCGCUACAGCAAAAAACUCUCUAUUUCAUCAGCUGAAUUUCGCUGCAGCGAGAAACCUUCUGUUUCUGGGUUACAAUUUCGCUGCAGCGAAAAACCUUCUGUUUUGGUCUCCUAUCUUGUCCAAUUGCUGCCCUAUCUUUCACUUCCUUACUACCAUAUUAGAGCAUGGACUUCCUACAUUAAGGAUUAAAUGAGUUAAGUUUAAAGGGAGGAGGUUUAGUGAGAAAUCCUCGGCCAGUUGAGAAACCCUCGUUUGGCUAAUAACUUAAUCCCAACGUCGCUGCAACGAGAAUGCCUUUCCGUUGCAGCGAAGAUUCGUUGUCAUAUUUGACUUGCUUAUGUAUCAUUGAAGCUUUCAUUAUUCAAAUGGUUCAUUGUGUAUGGAUUCAUGAUUUUCAAAUGAUCAAUCAAUUAAGGGCUUGAUAAGGGGUUUUUAGUAAGAAUAGAAACAAAUUGCAUUGUUUUGAAAAAGAAUGCAUCAUGAUUUCAUUAAAGAUUCCUUACAGUAUGCUUGUUCCCUUUCUUGUUCACUCACUGGGUUUAUACUCACCAUUUUCAACUUCAUGUUUUCAGAUCACGAGGCAGCCGGUAACUAGGACGAGGUGUCCUUAUAGACUUGUACACAUCUUUUGGUAGGUGUCUCAGCAUUCAGUAGCUGUACAUUCGUUUGAGUAUCUCCGCUGGAUAUCGAGUCUUCUUUUUUAGAUGUAUAGACAAACUUGAUGUAAAUUAUUAAGACACAUGCUGUAGACGAUGCAUGUAUAUUUUAAAUGAGUAAUGCCAAUACGAGUUGGAAAUGUCUAUUACUAUUUUGAUUUAAA